RNAcentral lists this transfer RNA (86 nucleotides) under Candidatus Sneabacter namystus. Its description in RNAcentral is "tRNA-Leu". It matches the Rfam family "tRNA". Rfam says of the family: Transfer RNA (tRNA) molecules are approximately 80 nucleotides in length. Lineage: Bacteria; Pseudomonadati; Pseudomonadota; Alphaproteobacteria; Rickettsiales; Rickettsiaceae. The record is from RNAcentral.
GCGGAUAUGGCGGAAUUGGUAGACGCGUUAGGCUUAGGACCUAAUGCUUUUUGGGCGUGGGGGUUCGAGUCCCUCUAUCCGUACCA